This 407-nucleotide ribosomal RNA is filed under the name uncultured bacterium. RNAcentral's name for it is "bacterial SSU rRNA". It matches the Rfam family "Bacterial small subunit ribosomal RNA", at positions 917 to 1345 of the family's 1533-position model. The record is from RNAcentral.
GGGCCCGCACAAGCGGUGGAGUAUGUGGUUUAAUUCGAUGCAACGCGAAGAACCUUACCAGGGUUUGACAUCCUGCGAAUCUCUUGGAAACAGGAGAGUGCCUUCGGGAACGCAGUGACAGGUGGUGCAUGGCUGUCGUCAGCUCGUGUCGUGAGAUGUUGGGUUAAGUCCCGCAACGAGCGCAACCCUCGCCGUUAGUUGCCAGCAGGUUUGGCUGGGCACUCUAACGGGACCGCCGGUGUUAAGCCGGAGGAAGGUGGGGAUGACGUCAAGUCCUCAUGGCCCUUACGGGUUGGGCUACACACGUGCUACAAUGGUAGUGACAAUGGGUUAAUCCCAAAAAGCUAUCUCAGUUCGGAUUGUCGUCUGCAACUCGACGGCAUGAAGUCGGAAUCGCUAGUAAUCGC